UAGGGAUGCGUGACAUUAGAUAGUAGGCGGGGUAACGGCCCACCUAGUCUACGAUGUCUAGGGGUUCUGAGAGGAAGGUCCCCCACACUGGAACUGASACACGGUCCASACUCCUACGGGAGGCAGCAGUGAGGAAUAUUGGUCAAUGGUCGGAAGACUGAACCAGCCAAGUAGCGUGAAGGAUGAAGGUUCUAUGGAUUGUAAACUUCUUUUAUACGGGAAUAAAACAUCCCACGUGUGGGAUCUUGUAUGUACCGUAUGAAUAAGCAUCGGCUAACUCCGUGCCAGCAGCCGCGGUAAUACGGAGGAUGCGAGCGUUAUCCGGAUUUAUUGGGUUUAAAGGGAGCGUAGACGGGAUGUUAAGUCAGCUGUGAAAGUUUGGGGCUCAACCUUAAAAUUGCAGUUGAUACUGGCGUCCUUGAGUGCGGUUGAGGUAUGUGGAAUUCGUGGUGUAGCGGUGAAAUGCUUAGAUAUCACGAAGAACUCCGAUUGCGAAGGCAGCAUACUAAGCCGCUACUGACGUUGAGGCUCGAAAGUGUGGGUAUCAAACAGGAUUAGAUACCCUGGUAGUCCACACGGUAAACGAUGAAUACUCGCUGUUGGCGAUAUAAUGUCAGCGGCCAAGCGAAAGCAUUAAGUAUUCCACCUGGGGAGUACGCCGGCAACGGUGAAACUCAAAGGAAUUGACGGGGGCCCGCACAAGCGGAGGAACAUGUGGUUUAAUUCGAUGAUACGCGAGGAACCUUACCCGGGCUUAAAUUGCACUGGACAGGCUCAGAGAUGGGCUUUUCUUCGGACCAGUGUGAAGGUGCUGCAUGGUUGUCGUCAGCUCGUGCCGUGAGGUGUCGGCUUAAGUGCCAUAACGAGCGCAACCCUUGCCUUUAGUUACUAACAGGUCAUGCUGAGGACUCUAGAGGGACUGCCAUCGUAAGAUGUGAGGAAGGUGGGGAUGACGUCAAAUCAGCACGGCCCUUACGUCCGGGGCUACACACGUGUUACAAUGGGAGGUACAGAAGGCUGCUACCCGGCGACGGGAUGCCAUACCCCAAAACCUCUUUCAGCU
This 1063-nucleotide ribosomal RNA is filed under the name uncultured bacterium. Its description in RNAcentral is "bacterial SSU rRNA". It matches the Rfam family "Bacterial small subunit ribosomal RNA", at positions 226 to 1293 of the family's 1533-position model. The record is from RNAcentral.